Long non-coding RNA from Vidua macroura (Pin-tailed whydah), 498 nucleotides. RefSeq lists it as uncharacterized. Lineage: Eukaryota; Metazoa; Chordata; Aves; Passeriformes; Viduidae. The record is from RefSeq and is a predicted model, not a curated record. The transcript has 3 exons.
AAUAUCUCUGGGAGCUUCCCAUUGCUCACAGCCACCUCUCCUAAUCCUAGCCCACCUGAGUUCAUACCCAGAGAGACACAGGGAUCCUUCGGAGCAGGGAGGGAUCCAGAGGGCGCUGGCAUCCAGCAGAAAAGGCUGAGGAUUGUGGCACCAGGUGGAUACAGGGAAUGGUUCUUCACAGAGGAUAAUUGAACCUGAUCUAUUAACCAGGAAUUCUUUCCCACCAUCACUGCACUGAAGGUGUCAUUAUGGGAUAGAAGGAACGACGAGGUUCAGCACAACACUUAAGAAUGGAAUUGUCAGCACUGUACCUGUUCCUGAGGAAGUCAUGUCUCCCACCCGCUGCCAUCCCAUAGAAGAGACCCCAAAACCUGGGCCCAGAGCUGGGAGGACACUAAACUUCCAAUCUCAUUACAGCUGGAAACUCUGACCUGUUUAAAGUCAGCUAAAGGGAUUUUUUUUCAGAAUUUAAAGCUGCAUUUUUUUUCCUAAAUCUGC